This 274-nucleotide ribosomal RNA is filed under the name uncultured bacterium. Its description in RNAcentral is "partial 16S ribosomal RNA". It matches the Rfam family "Bacterial small subunit ribosomal RNA", at positions 523 to 796 of the family's 1533-position model. The record is from RNAcentral.
AUACGGAGGGUGCAAGCGUUAAUCGGAAUUACUGGGCGUAAAGCGCUCGUAGGCGGCUUGUUAAGUCGGAUGUGAAAGCCCCGGGCUCAACCUGGGAACUGCAUUCGAUACUGGCAAGCUAGAGUAUAGUAGAGGCAAGUGGAAUUCCGGGUGUAGCGGUGAAAUGCGUAGAUAUCCGGAGGAACAUCAGUGGCGAAGGCGGCUUUCUGGACCAAUACUGACACUGAGGCGCGAAAGCGUGGGGAGCAAACAGGAUUAGAAACCCGGGUAGUCC